ACACAGCGAUACCUGAGCGAGUCUUUCUGAUCUUGUGUUUCCACAACACAGCCCGGCGACCGCAUCCCGUGUCACGCACACACGCGACUUAGCUAGGGGCGGACAAAAGGUCGGAUUUUUGUCCGAGUCCUCCAGGAGGUCAGAGGUAUGACCGCACCGAGGGUCACAACGGCGUGACACCCGGUCUCGGUGGUAAACUCCAAACACCCGGCCGAGAAAGAUCUCGCUUGAAACGGAUGUCUUUGACAAUCCUGCUCGUACGUCUGUGAAUGUUCCAAGGCCGAUCCAGAACCAGGUGGCUGGGUCGGGCCGAGUGGAGUAACCUGAUGACCUUCUCCCCAGCAAAGCACUCCAGCUCCUCUCGGGGACCCCACAGGCAUUCCAAAGCCAGAUGGGCUCCGAAAUCCCUCCCCUCGGUUUCUUCUAGUCCACCACUUGGGGCGCAUCUCGCUCAGAGACAACAUCAUCUUGCCUUGACGUGCGGACUUAACCUCACCUUAUCUGCAUGCUUCUUGGUCACUGCAGCAAGGCUGAGGUUUAGGAUUGAAAUCAGCUGCUCCGUUUAUUGUUACCCACAAUGACGACAGAACCACAGUCACCAAAGUUUCUUACUUAAAGGGGAACAUUAUCACAACUUCUGAAUGGUUAAAAUCAAUAAAAAUCAGUUCCCAGUGGCUUAUUUUA
Nerophis ophidion (straightnose pipefish) is the source of this 684-nucleotide long non-coding RNA. RefSeq lists it as uncharacterized. Lineage: Eukaryota; Metazoa; Chordata; Actinopteri; Syngnathiformes; Syngnathidae. The transcript has 2 exons. The record is from RefSeq and is a predicted model, not a curated record.